UUUAAUUUGUAUUGUUUUUAAAAUUAAUUUUACUGAUAAAAUUUUUAUAUUAUUGUUGUUGUUAUCAUCAUUUUGUAAUCCUGAGGAUAAAACUCAGGGACUCUCUAUCACUAUGCUGCAUUUACAGCCCUGUAUAGUUUUUAUUUUGAGAUAGUGUCAGUAAGUUUCACAGAUGCUUCAAACUUGUGAUCUUGCCUCAGGCUUCUGAGUAGCUGACAUUAUAGUCAUGUGCCACCAAGUUGUUAAUGUGUUACACUUAAAAAUUACCUGUCUAGUGAUUUAAUUCGGAUAAAUGUUAAGUUCACUCAAGAUUUAUUCUCUUGAUGCCACAAAUAUUUGUUGUGCUACUAAUAUGAGCCUAGAAUUUGCAAGGUAGUAAUAUGAUACUCCUAAGCAGAGGAUGCAUAGACGGUAUAUGACAAAAAAUCCAAAUAUUUUCAGUCAUUACUCUUUGUGUCAAGAUCUGAGGUGUUUAUCUGGCUGUUGUUUAUCAGACAAAGCAGGUAAGAAAAUAUGUAUGCGUGUGUAUUUUUUUAUGUAGAUAGUGUCAGAUUUAAUUCUGUUAAAUUUAAAAAGUUUAAAAUUUUCUUUCCAAACAGAUGUUCAGCAUUUAUGUUUUCAUGAUAAGAACAGAAAAUUUUGAGACAAAGGGCAGGUUCUUCUAUUGAUUGGUAUAGCUUCCCUGUAUCCUGGGCCGGAGUGUGCGUGCCAGGGAACAACACACCAGAUAUUACACGCUUUGUGUUGUGCACCGUGGUUGCCAAGCCAGGAGUUCCCAGGGCCAUCCAUCUGCGGCUCCAGUCUGAGUAAUUAAAAUAAAUAUUUUAAGUAGAGUUUUAAAUUCCCCAUGAGUUCCCUUUGGUUGGGGAAGAGUCCGAGGGUAUUAUUGCUGAUAGAAGCAGAGGAAAGAAUUAAAGUUACUGAGUUUUCAUAAGCGGUGAUAGGUUAACUGUUUUUGUUUAGAAGGGAAUAGAUAGUUCUCUGUGAGGAGGGGCUGUGAUAAUUUUGACUAAAGGUUUUGCACACAAAGGGUUAUUAGAUUUCUCAAAAGCAUAAAAAACAAGGUAAUUUAGUACUUUGGGCUGGGCAAGAUUUAAUUUCAAACAAUGUUUUUUCACUUUUCUUUCUUUUUCUACAUCAGCGAACAGUCACUGACACUUACUGGGCAUGACAUUCUGUAAGGCACAGAGUGCAGUUCCACAUCAUGAGCAGGGACUCCUGCCUGUCCAUGGGGAUGGCUGGACUUAGGUGCAGGUGCAACAGAGGUAUUAUUUCUCCUGACUAGUGGCUCUGGACAUGCCUUGUUGAGAUUUUUGAUUCUUCCUGUCUUUUUUUUUUCUGGUUGUUUUAAUUUUUUUCAAAAUGCUGCUUAGUUAUGUUCCCAAAUUUUCGUUUUUAAUCUUUUCACAGAUUACCAGCUUGGCAUCACUUCAGCUUACAAUUAUUAACUGACAUCAUUUGAUCUUACAAUGGAGCUGAAGAGAAGGGAUGCAGUAUUUCAAUAGCAACUCAUCACCUUGGAAGCUACUAUUCUAUGGUGAUCAUAAUAGCAGACAUCUAUUGAGCAUUUUGUGCUCUAGAAAUGGACUAAGCCCUUUGUAUGGAGCGCUGGGGAUUUAGCUCAUAAGCACUGCCUGGCACAUGCAAGGUCCUGAGUUUGACUCCUGGUACCAAAACAAACAAACAAUAACAAACAAACAAACAAGUAUGGAAAAGGAUAAGCCUGUUCUAGGAUGAAUGAAAAAUGCUUUCAGUUUCCUACAGCAAGUAGACUUGGCGCCUUAAAGGUAAGGAUACAGAGUGAUUCAGUGUACUCAUAACUGUUCCAGCAACACUGCAGAUGUUCAUCACCUCCAGGAGAUUCUGAGAGUGUCUAAUUUCAUGUUACUAUUUCAGGACAAAGCACUAUCUCCCAAUUCCAUGAUCCUUAGUACAGUCUCAGGAAGCUUGUGAGAUCCCAAAGUAAAACAGACCACCAGAGAAAUGAAUUAAUGGUUCAGAAGCUUCUUCUGCCUUGGAGAUCCUCAUACUCCUAGCAGAUGCUCUCCUGAUUGAAUCGCACUGUGAGUCCUAUGGUGGCCCCUCUGGCUCCUCCAGGACCAGCUUUAAAGCUCAUUCUGCUUUAAUGAAACUGGCUGAUGUUGGCAGGGACAAGUUUACUUUUUAAUGAGAUUCAGACACCUCCUGCUCUCACUGAGUGUGGCUUAUCACAAACUCAACACUUGAUCUGAGGAACAGAUAAAAGUCUAGCUUUUCUACAAGCAGGAGGAACAAUUGCACUCACAGGUUCUGGAUAGUACAAUGAAUGAAUGAACCCAAAAUGGGCGGACAUUGCAUGCAAAUUUUCUAUAGACCUAUAUUACUGACACCUGAUUUUUUUAAUAGAAGGAAUUUUGGACAGGUGUGCAAAUAUGUGCAAAUCAUACAGCUAUGUAACACCCAUGCCAUUUUUUAAUUAUUUUGUAUAUUUCAAAGUGGUCCUUUGGGGAAAAGGCCUCACAUAACCUAUUGUUGUAGUGUUACAUGGGAGACUAGGAAUUUCAAAUUUUAUAUUUAUUUAUUUCUUACCAUGUGUAAUUUUAAAGCUGCUUUGUUGAGAUAUAAUUUACUUAGAAUAUGAUUCACCUGACUUAAAAUGUAUAGUUAUUAGUUUUUAGUAGUAUGACUGUCAUAGUUACACAAUAAUAACCAUAGUUUUAGACUAUUUGUAUUACUCCCAAAGACACUACAUACAUUUUAGUAGUCACUCCCGUUUCUUUCUAACCCACCCUUUCACUCCAGCCUCUGGCACAAUUAGUCUAGUUUGUGUCUCUGUAGAUUUGCUGAAUGUGGAUUCAUUCACUGGAUACCAGGAUUGUUUCCAUUUUUUGGCAUGUUAUCAUUAGUAUUGCUAUGAGCAUUUGUGUAUGAGUUCGUCCAUGCAGGUAAGUUUUCAGUUCUUUCAAGAGUUUCCUGGGAAGGGAAUUGAUGAGUUAUUUGGAAACUGUGCAGUUUUAGAGAAAUUGCUGAACUGUCUUCUCCAGCAAUUCCAUGAUUUUAUACUCCAAUCAGCAAGGCAUGACAAUUCUGAAUUCUCUAUGCUCACGCACCAAGGAUCAAGCCCAGGGUUUCCAUAUACUAGGUAAGCAUUCCAUUUCUACCUGUAGCCCUAAUUUCUCCACAUCUUCUCCAACCCUUGUUAUUAUUAUUAUUAUUUUGCGUGUGUGUGUGUUGUAGUUGUUGUUAUAACACUAAGUCUAACUAUGGGUUAUUUUAUUUUUUGGGUUUUUUUUUUUUUUUUGUAUCAUCAAGCUAUUCAUCUUUGGCCUUAAAAGUGGAGGGUGGGAUGCCAGUUGAAAGCAGAAAGCCUACAGGAAAGCUUGUGCAACAGAAAGCUGAAGAGGAUGAAAAUGUUGGUGGUCUACUUCUUGGACUCUAUCGUAGCUGCAGACUGGAGUGUGGCUAAGAGGGAAUACCAUGUUCUUGGCUGUGUUUGCUCAGACAAGCACUUUUCACUCAGGUAGAUCAUCACCACACCCGGAUGCAGAAGAGUGGGAAAUGGAUUGUGGCUCAAAGGCCACCAACUUUGCUCUUCUUACCGCAAUGCUAUAGAUUGUUUUGAAUAAAUAUUUCACUUUCUAUUUUUCAUUUGCCAUAUUA
Cavia porcellus (domestic guinea pig) is the source of this 3639-nucleotide long non-coding RNA. RefSeq lists it as uncharacterized. Lineage: Eukaryota; Metazoa; Chordata; Mammalia; Rodentia; Caviidae. The transcript has 2 exons. The record is from RefSeq and is a predicted model, not a curated record.